This 387-nucleotide ribosomal RNA is filed under the name uncultured bacterium. RNAcentral describes it as "bacterial SSU rRNA". It matches the Rfam family "Bacterial small subunit ribosomal RNA", at positions 30 to 418 of the family's 1533-position model. The record is from RNAcentral.
AUUGAACGCUGGCGGCAUGCCUUACACAUGCAAGUCGAACGGCAGCGCGGGGCAACCUGGCGGCGAGUGGCGAACGGGUGAGUAAUAUAUCGGAACGUGCCCUGGAGUGGGGGAUAACGUAGCGAAAGUUACGCUAAUACCGCAUACGAUCUGAGGAUGAAAGCAGGGGACCUUCGGGCCUUGUGCUCCUGGAGCGGCCGAUAUCUGAUUAGCUAGUUGGUGGGGUAAAAGCCUACCAAGGCGACGAUCAGUAGCUGGUCUGAGAGGACGACCAGCCACACUGGAACUGAGACACGGUCCAGACUCCUACGGGAGGCAGCAGUGGGGAAUUUUGGACAAUGGGGGGCAACCCUGAUCCAGCAAUGCCGCGUGUGUGAAGAAGGCCUU